Molecule: ribosomal RNA, 549 nt
Filed under: uncultured bacterium
Lineage: Bacteria
Description: bacterial SSU rRNA
Rfam family: Bacterial small subunit ribosomal RNA
Source: RNAcentral
GGGGAAUCUUCCGCAAUGGACGAAAGUCUGACGGAGCAACGCCGCGUGAGUGAUGACGGCCUUCGGGUUGUAAAGCUCUGUUAAUCGGGACGAAUGGUUCUUGUGCAAAUAGUGCGAGGAUCUGACGGUACCGGAAUAGAAAGCCACGGCUAACUACGUGCCAGCAGCCGCGGUAAUACGUAGGUGGCAAGCGUUGUCCGGAAUUAUUGGGCGUAAAGCGCGCGCAGGCGGAUUGGUCAGUCUGUCUUAAAAGUUCGGGGCUUAACCCCGUGAUGGGAUGGAAACUGCCAAUCUAGAGUAUCGGAGAGGAAAGUGGAAUUCCUAGUGUAGCGGUGAAAUGCGUAGAUAUUAGGAAGAACACCAGUGGCGAAGGCGACUUUCUGGACGAAAACUGACGCUGAGGCGCGAAAGCCAGGGGAGCGAACGGGAUUAGAUACCCCGGUAGUCCUGGCCGUAAACGAUGGGUACUAGGUGUAGGAGGUAUCGACCCCUUCUGUGCCGGAGUUAACGCAAUAAGUACCCCGCCUGGGGAGUACGACCGCAAGGUUG